This 75-nucleotide transfer RNA is filed under the name Ereboglobus luteus. RNAcentral describes it as "tRNA-Asn". It matches the Rfam family "tRNA". Rfam says of the family: Transfer RNA (tRNA) molecules are approximately 80 nucleotides in length. Their secondary structure includes four short double-helical elements and three loops (D, anti-codon, and T loops). Further hydrogen bonds mediate the characteristic L-shaped molecular structure. tRNAs have two regions of fundamental functional importance: the anti-codon, which is responsible for specific mRNA codon recognition, and the 3' end, to which the tRNAs corresponding amino acid is attached (by aminoacyl-tRNA synthetases). tRNAs cope with the degeneracy of the genetic code in two manners: having more than one tRNA (with a specific anti-codon) for a particular amino acid; and 'wobble' base-pairing, i.e. permitting non-standard base-pairing at the 3rd anti-codon position. The record is from RNAcentral. Lineage: Bacteria; Pseudomonadati; Verrucomicrobiota; Opitutia; Opitutales; Opitutaceae.
UGCCGGGUAGCAUAAUAGUAAUGCGACGCCCUGUUAAGGCGGUGGAUGCAAGUGCGACUCUUGCCCCGGCAGCCA